RNAcentral lists this ribosomal RNA (806 nucleotides) under Astrothelium isidiatum. RNAcentral describes it as "SSU rRNA". It matches the Rfam family "Bacterial small subunit ribosomal RNA", at positions 366 to 1219 of the family's 1533-position model. The record is from RNAcentral. Lineage: Eukaryota; Fungi; Ascomycota; Dothideomycetes; Trypetheliales; Trypetheliaceae.
GGUCAAUGGCCUAACGGCUGAACCAGCAAUUUGGAAGAAUGCUACUUAUUAGUUAUUUAAGUAAUCAUUAAUUUUGAAUAUAGUUCAGGAUAAAAAAUUGAUAAUGACAAAACUUUAUCUGUUUGUCUUGACCAAAAUUUGUGCCAGCAGUCGCGGCAAUACAAAGAAGACAAGUGUUAAUCAUCUUAAAUUGGUUUAAAGGGUACCUAGACGGUAAAUUAGGCCAGGUUUGGUACCUUUUUACUAGAGUUAUACAAGCAAGGGGAUUGUGUUAGAAUUAGCAGAGUAGAGAUGUAAUUUUUUGAUACUGUUGAGACUGGUAAAGGCGAAAGCAAACCUUUAUACAAUAACUGACGUUGAGGGACGAAGGCUUGGGUAGCGAAUAGGAUUAGAUACCCUAGUAGUCCAGGCAGACAAUUCUGAAUGUCAUAGGUUAUAAUAUUAUAGUCUAUAAAUGAAAAUGUAAGCAUUCCACCUCAAGAGUAAUGUGGCAACGCAGGAACUGAAAUCAUUAGACCGUUUCUGACACCAGUAGUGAAGUAUGUUGUUUAAUUUGACGGUCCACAAAGAACCUUACCACAAUUUGAAUAUCUAUACUAUAUAUAAAUUAUAUUUAUAUAUAUAUUUAUACAAGUGUUGCACUGUUGUCUUCAGUUAAUGUUGUGAGAUUUUGGUUAGAUUCAAUAAAUUAACGUAAUCCUAUUUUCUAUUUAACUAUUAAUAGAUUAGUCAGAUCAAAAAAUUCUUUGGUUAUUGAUAGGUGGGAGUAAGACAAGUCGUAAUGACCUUAAUAUUGUGGGCUAUAG